RNAcentral lists this unclassified non-coding RNA (548 nucleotides) under Carex illegitima. RNAcentral describes it as "partial external transcribed spacer". Lineage: Eukaryota; Viridiplantae; Streptophyta; Magnoliopsida; Poales; Cyperaceae. The record is from RNAcentral.
UGCACUUUUGGUGCGGCCAACCGACAUGGGGCUGUCUCUUCACUCUCCCACCCGUCAUUGAAUUUGUCGGGCUGGGAUGCUUGUGAUCGGUUGCCUGUGCGGUUCUACCCUCUGGUGGGUAGCGAAGUCGUCCCUCGAUGGAUAUUUGCUUGCCCGGCUGACAUUUUUGUGUCGUUCGGGCAGCCGAAAUGUUGGCGAAAUCCCUGUGUUGGUGCGCGGUUGAACGCUGUGUCGCUAUCCCUUGGAUUUCUGCCGGCUCUCACGGAUGCGGUGCCUAGUGCUAGCUCUCCGGGGCUCUGUCCCGCAGACUUCGGGAGGUCCCUUGUACGAGUCAUUGCUCUUAUACGCCGUCUCGCGUGUUGCCGCUGGUGACACGCAGAUCGUGUUCUGUCGUGCCGUCGUUGGCGACAUGGCAGAACAAAGUGUCCGGAGCGUGCUCGCGUGCAUGCGGAAUGCCUCUCCGUCCGUAUGAGCAGCGAUUUCCGGUCUGCGUCGUGCGAUGGCCUCCGCCCGUCCGGGCUGGUGCCGGAGCUGACGCGCCGGCUCUC